AUGGCUCAGGAUGAACGCUAGCUACAGGCUUAACACAUGCAAGUCGAGGGGCAGCAUUGGAGUAGCAAUACUCAGAUGGCGACCGGCGCACGGGUGAGUAACACGUAUCCAACCUGCCGCUUACUCGGGGAUAGCCUUUCGAAAGAAAGAUUAAUACCCGAUGGUAUAAAGAGUUCGCAUGUUCUCCUUAUUAAAGAAUUUCGGUAAGCGAUGGGGAUGCGUUCCAUUAGAUAGUUGGCGGGGUAACGGCCCACCAAGUCUACGAUGGAUAGGGGUUCUGAGAGGAAGGUCCCCCACAUUGGAACUGAGACACGGUCCAAACUCCUACGGGAGGCAGCAGUGAGGAAUAUUGGUCAAUGGACGAGAGUCUGAACCAGCCAAAAGUAGCGUGAAGGAUGACUGCCCUAUGGGUUGUAAACUUCUUUUAUAAGGGAAUAAAGUGAGGGACGUGUCCCUUUUUGUAUGUACCUUAUGAAUAAGGAUCGGCUAACUCCGUGCCAGCAGCCGC
RNAcentral lists this ribosomal RNA (508 nucleotides) under uncultured bacterium. RNAcentral's name for it is "bacterial SSU rRNA". It matches the Rfam family "Bacterial small subunit ribosomal RNA", at positions 19 to 518 of the family's 1533-position model. The record is from RNAcentral.